Molecule: non-coding RNA, 98 nt
Organism: Treponema maltophilum ATCC 51939
Lineage: Bacteria; Pseudomonadati; Spirochaetota; Spirochaetia; Treponematales; Treponemataceae
Rfam family: Bacterial small signal recognition particle RNA
About the family: The signal recognition particle (SRP) is a universally conserved ribonucleoprotein involved in the co-translational targeting of proteins to membranes. Archaeal SRP consists of a 7S RNA and homologues of the eukaryotic SRP19 and SRP54 proteins.
Source: Rfam
GUCCGGGUCCUAUGCAAAAAACGUUUUCGAACCCCGUCAGAUCCGGAAGGAAGCAGCGGUAGAAAGCCUCUUUUUGUGCCGUAGUUCACCCGGGCUCU